UGUUUUUCACAGGUCCGUAGAGAUUGCCAUAUCAUGCAGGGAGAUGAGCAGUCUUCACCAUGUAUCAUUUCUGAAAGCGUCAGCAUUGUGUCCUGUCUUGGGAGACACAGCAACAACACCUAUCAUGUAAAUCUCAGUGUACCUCUACUUAGAGGUGGGAAAAACAGAGGAUGGGGAACUGAAAUGACCUUUGGGACAUCACCCAGCAGCCAAGAGAGGGAAUCCAGAUCUUUGGAACAUUUCUAUGCUGGAAGGAUACUUCACAAAGCACUCAUUGAAAGGUCACCUCUGGGGGCAAAAAAAUGUCUGUCUUGGGUGUGUGAAAUGACAGGCUUGUCCAACAUAAGCCUGAGCAGCUGCAAAGAUCAGCCUGAAGGCCUGGAGGAGAUGGCCUGCCAUAUGGGAUUCCCAAAGCUCAUCCUGUACCUAUUCACUGCAGCAGCAACAAUGCACAAAAUGCUGAUGGGAAGAGGAAGUCCAAGGAACAAGAAGAAGCGAGGCACAAAGCAGCAGGAGUUACGAUUUUCAUGGGCUCCUGCAUCAGUAACAAGCUCCAAUCUUGUGUCCCACUCCCAGCCUCAGAGGUGCAAGGGGCACUAGCAACCACUUCAGUUUGGGAAGUGGUAGUGGAGCUGGGGUUGUGGUGCUUUUCCUCCAUUUCUAAAGUCUCCAGGAUCGUGGAAAAGGUGAGGAGCAUGCAGGGUGGCAUGGAAUCUCGUUUAGUUGUUAAAUUGUAAAGCUUCACCCCCACCAAGUCCCAAAAGCCCGCUGUAAAGAUGUUAGUGUCUGCGCCGUUUGGCAUGCCACUAGGGAAAUU
Molecule: long non-coding RNA, 817 nt
Filed under: Parus major (Great Tit)
Lineage: Eukaryota; Metazoa; Chordata; Aves; Passeriformes; Paridae
Description: lncRNA (ENSPMJG00000011389.1)
Source: RNAcentral